CAAAGAGGCACUUAAGAGACAGUGGUUGCCAGGCAUGAAAUGGAGUGCUGUAACUGCAUUUGUGUGCUCGGAGAAUGUUACAAAGCAGAAACCGGAUGAAACAGUCCAGACCUUAAUUUUGUUGUCAUCUGCUCCUGUGGCCACGAGCUGAGAAUCUGGUGAAUAUGCAAGGCAGUUUACAUCAAAAUAGUGUCCCUGUUGUUUCAG
Molecule: unclassified non-coding RNA, 207 nt
Filed under: Hevea brasiliensis (rubber tree)
Lineage: Eukaryota; Viridiplantae; Streptophyta; Magnoliopsida; Malpighiales; Euphorbiaceae
Source: RNAcentral